CAAGUACUCCCUCCGUCCGGAAUUACUUGUCAUCAAAACGGAUGUGUAUAGAACUAAAAUACAUCUAGAUACAUCCAUUUCAAUGACAAGUAUUUUCGGACGGAGGGAGUAUAAG
This is a non-coding RNA of Triticum aestivum (bread wheat), 115 nucleotides long. Lineage: Eukaryota; Viridiplantae; Streptophyta; Magnoliopsida; Poales; Poaceae. The record is from Rfam.